This 467-nucleotide ribosomal RNA is filed under the name uncultured Desulfobacula sp. Its description in RNAcentral is "bacterial SSU rRNA". It matches the Rfam family "Bacterial small subunit ribosomal RNA", at positions 29 to 478 of the family's 1533-position model. Lineage: Bacteria; Pseudomonadati; Thermodesulfobacteriota; Desulfobacteria; Desulfobacterales; Desulfobacteraceae. The record is from RNAcentral.
AAUGAACGCUGGCGGCGUGCUUAACACAUGCAAGUCGAACGAGAAAGGGAUUGCUUGCAAUCCUGAGUAGAGUGGCGCACGGGUGAGUAACACGUAGAUAAUCUACCUUCAAGCCCGGGAUAACUAUUCGAAAGGAUAGCUAAUACCGGAUGAAGUGGUUUAACCCAAGUUGAAUCAUGAAAGAUUGCCUUUUCUUGAAAGCAAUUGUUUGGAGAUGAGUUUGCGGACCAUUAGUUUGUUGGUGGGGUAAAGGCCUACCAAGACUACGAUGGUUAGCUGGUCUGAGAGGAUGAUCAGCCACACUGGAACUGGUACACGGUCCAGACUCCUACGGGAGGCAGCAGUGAGGAAUUUUGCGCAAUGGGGGCAACCCUGACGCAGCAACGCCGCGUGAGUGAAGAAGGCCUUUGGGUCGUAAAGCUCUGUCGAUAGGGAAGAAGUUACAGAUAUCCAAUAGGUAUCUGUAU